CUCCGUUGUCAGGCAGCAGAGGGUCGCAGCGAGAUAAACGAUCAAUAUUCUUCCAAAUUACGAUCCCCCUUUCCAGGGGGCUUGAGCAAAGGCUUGAACGGGGCUUGAGCGGGCAUUCCAAGUCCGUAGCCAUUUAGCUCAAGUUUACACUGGCUCGAGCUGUUUGGAAAAGUUGAUCGAUUGAUCGCAUCUGCCCGAAAUCAUGUUCAAAUUUUUGAUCCUGGCUUUGUUGGUAGCGUCUGACUCUAAGAUAGGACCUCGGUUCUAUUUUGUUGGUUUCUAGAGCUGAGGUAAUGAUUAAUAGGGAUAGUUGGGGGCAUUCGUAUUUAACUGUCAGAGGUGAAAUUCUUGGAUUUGUUACAGACGGACUACUGCGAAAGCAUUUGCCAAGGAUGUUUUCA
This 401-nucleotide ribosomal RNA is filed under the name uncultured eukaryote. RNAcentral describes it as "partial small subunit ribosomal RNA". The stretch from base 247 to 401 matches the Rfam family "Eukaryotic small subunit ribosomal RNA", at positions 818 to 972 of the family's 1831-position model. The record is from RNAcentral.